Molecule: long non-coding RNA, 939 nt
Filed under: Anser brachyrhynchus (Pink-footed goose)
Lineage: Eukaryota; Metazoa; Chordata; Aves; Anseriformes; Anatidae
Description: lncRNA (ENSABRG00000003705.1)
Source: RNAcentral
CCUGUGUCUGGCAACAUCUUGCCAAGCUUCUCACUCCUGCAGCUCAAGGAGAUUUGGAGUAGCCAGGGCGCAGAGAAAUCAGGCAGGAACUAGGAGCCUUUGAGCAGUGCACUGCAAAAGCCAAAGGAUGGCUGUAAUGUUCCGUCUGGGACGGAAGAGGAAAUCUCAAGAAAUGGAUGACCUCAGUAGCCAACCCCCCUGGAUCCUCAGCUCCGCAGAACACUCAGCUCACGUGACUGAGUCAAACUUUCUCAUCAAUCUCCACAGUUCCUUCCUUGUUCACAGUUAAGUUUUCCUAAAAUAUGCAUUUCUGCUCUGCUAACAGUUAGCUGAGAAUACCAUCAUUUUCUUUCCCAGCAUCUGAAAGCUUGUCUUUGAUUUUUCCAGUUAUUGUUCCUUCUUUAAUAUCUGUAGAGAACCUAGAGUAGUCUAAUUACUGUAGUCAAUCUGUAUCACUUGAUUCACAUGACAGGAGGCUAAACUGCAUGAUGAUUUACUUCUGUGAAACUCCAUAUAAAUGAAUUGGUGUCAGAAGAGAAUUUUUCUUUUGGUAUAUUUCUCUCCUGCUAUGUUUCACAGACUACCUUACAGAUGGAACUAUAAAACAGUGCUAUUAGAUGUAAUCUUCCUACGUGAAAUUGUUGCAGUGCCCUAGUACAAGGGGAAAAAAAAAAAAAGAAGAAAAAAAAAAAGCUGAGCAUUUAACCUUAAUUUCUGAAGAGCAGAGCAGAAGUCUGAAUUUAGAGAACGGAACAAUGGAACUUCAUGAUGCUUCAUGAUGCUAUGAUGCUUCAUACACCAGUGGACUAUCCGAAUUUCAUUGCUCCUCUAAGGAAGACAAGAUGUCCCACCAAAGGCUGCACAUUCCUAAAGCUUCAUGUUCUGUAUGUGAACUAUGCAAAGUACUUGUAUGUGAGAGAAAAACAGAUGGCACACUAA